GAUGAACGCUGGCGGCGUGCCUAAUACAUGCAAGUCGAGCGAACAGACGAGGAGCUUGCUCCUCUGACGUUAGCGGCGGACGGGUGAGUAACAAGUGGAUAACCUACCUAUAAGACUGGGAUAACUUCGGGAAACCGGAGCUAAUACCGGAUAAUAUAUUGAACAGCAUGGUUCAAUAGUGAAAGACGGUUUUGCUGUCACUUAUAGAUGGAUCCGCGCCGCAUUAGCUAGUUGGUAAGGUAACGGCUUACCAAGGCAACGAUGCGUAGCCGACCUGAGAGGGUGAUCGGCCACACUGGAACUGAGACACGGUCCAGACUCCUACGGGAGGCAGCAGUAGGGAAUCUUCCGCAAUGGGCGAAAGCCUGACGGAGCAACGCCGCGUGAGUGAUGAAGGUCUUCGGAUCGUAAAACUCUGUUAUUAGGGAAGAACAAAUGUGUAAGUAACUAUGCACGUCUUGACGGUACCUAAUCAGAAAGCCACGGCUAACUACGUG
RNAcentral lists this ribosomal RNA (497 nucleotides) under uncultured bacterium. RNAcentral describes it as "partial 16S ribosomal RNA". It matches the Rfam family "Bacterial small subunit ribosomal RNA", at positions 28 to 507 of the family's 1533-position model. The record is from RNAcentral.